AUUGAACGCUGGCGGCGUGCUUAACACAUGCAAGUCGAUCGGUAACAGGUGUAGCAAUACAUGCUGACGAGAGGCGGACGGGUGAGUAAUGCUUGGGAAUCUGCCUAUUAGUGGGGGACAACCCGGGGAAACUCGGGCUAAUACCGCAUACGCUCUACGGAGGAAAGCCGGGGACCGCAAGGCCUGGCGCUAAUAGAUGAGCCCAAGUCGGAUUAGCUAGUUGGUAGGGAACGGCCUACUAAGGCGACAAUCCGUAGCUGGUCUGAGAGGACGACCAGCCACACCGGAACUGAGACACGGUCCGGACUCCUACGGGAGGCAGCAGUGGGGAAUAUUGGACAAUGGGGGCAACCCUGAUCCAGCGACGCCGCGUGGGUGAAGAAGGCCUGCGGGUUGUAAAGCCCUUUGGUGGGGAAGAAAAGUCUCGACCUAAUACGUCGGGACCUUGACGUAACCACUAAAGAAGCACCGGCUAACUCUGUGCCAGCCGCCGCCGUAA
Molecule: ribosomal RNA, 499 nt
Filed under: uncultured bacterium
Lineage: Bacteria
Description: bacterial SSU rRNA
Rfam family: Bacterial small subunit ribosomal RNA
Source: RNAcentral